GACGAACCGUGCGAACGUUGUUCGGAAUCACUGGGCUUAAAGGGCGCGUAGGCGGGUGCUCAAGUCCGUGGUGAAAUCCUCCGGCUCAACCGGAGAACUGCCUCGGAUACUGGGCGCCUCGAGGGUGGUAGGGGUAUGCGGAACUAUCGGUGGAGCGGUGAAAUGCGUUGAUAUCGAUAGGAACUCCGGUGGCGAAGGCGGCAUACUGGACCACCUCUGACGCUGAGGCGCGAAAGCCAGGGGAGCAAACGGG
Molecule: ribosomal RNA, 253 nt
Filed under: uncultured bacterium
Lineage: Bacteria
Description: partial 16S ribosomal RNA
Rfam family: Bacterial small subunit ribosomal RNA
Source: RNAcentral